AAUAGAUACCCGGGUAGUCCACGCCGUAAACGAUGAGUGCUAAGUGUUAGAGGGUUUCCGCCCUUUAGUGCUGCAGCUAACGCAUUAAGCACUCCGCCUGGGGAGUACGGUCGCAAGACUGAAACUCAAAGGAAUUGACGGGGGCCCGCACAAGCGGUGGAGCAUGUGGUUUAAUUCGAAGCAACGCGAAGAACCUUACCAGGUCUUGACAUCCCACUGACCGGUAUAGAGAUAUACCUUUCCCUUCGGGGACAGUGGUGACAGGUGGUGCAUGGUUGUCGUCAGCUCGUGUCGUGAGAUGUUGGGUUAAGUCCCGCAACGAGCGCAACCCUUGAUCUUAGUUGCCAGCAUUUUAGUUGGGCACUCUAAGGUGACUGCCGGUGACAAACCGGAGGAAGGUGGGGAUGACGUCAAAUCAUCAUGCCCCUUAUGACCUGGGCUACACACGUGCUACGAAUGGAUGGUACAAAGGGCUGCAAGACUGCGAAGUCAAGCCAAUCCCAUAAAACCAUUCUCAGUUCGGAUUGCAGG
Molecule: ribosomal RNA, 531 nt
Filed under: uncultured bacterium
Lineage: Bacteria
Description: bacterial SSU rRNA
Rfam family: Bacterial small subunit ribosomal RNA
Source: RNAcentral